CAUUUGACAGAAUAUGUUACUAAAAUUGGAAUUAUGCAAAAAAAUAUUAGCAUUGCCACUGCACAAGGAUGACAUGCAAAUUCAUGAAGUAUUCCAUAUGUUU
Small nuclear RNA from Phodopus roborovskii (desert hamster), 103 nucleotides. Lineage: Eukaryota; Metazoa; Chordata; Mammalia; Rodentia; Cricetidae. The record is from RefSeq and is a predicted model, not a curated record.